This 214-nucleotide long non-coding RNA is filed under the name Elaeis guineensis (African oil palm). RNAcentral's name for it is "long non-coding RNA (EGUI_LNC048532)". The record is from RNAcentral. Lineage: Eukaryota; Viridiplantae; Streptophyta; Magnoliopsida; Arecales; Arecaceae.
AUCUAUUUAAUUUAUUUAAUAAAUAAAUAAUUUAUUUAUCCAACUCAAUUUAGUAUGUUUAACAUGUUUAAUAAAUAGUAUUGGUUCAACCUUAGUGGACCUAUUAAUCAAAUUCGAAAUCUGAUUUGUUUAAUCUAUUACUCUGACCUGCCUAAUAGAUAGACCUGUUAUAUACAUCAAUAAAAAAAUGAAAUAUCAACAUAAAAAAAUGAGC